This 460-nucleotide ribosomal RNA is filed under the name uncultured bacterium. RNAcentral describes it as "bacterial SSU rRNA". It matches the Rfam family "Bacterial small subunit ribosomal RNA", at positions 340 to 784 of the family's 1533-position model. The record is from RNAcentral.
UACGGGAGGACAGCAGUGGGGAAGUAAUUGCACAAUGGGCGAAAGCCUGAUGCAGCUAUGCCGCGUGUAUGAAGAAGGCCUUAGGGUUGUAAAGUACUUUCAUCGGGGAGGAAAAAACAAAACUAAUAAUUUUAUUUCUUGACGUUACCCGAAAAAGAAGCACCGGCUAACUCCGUGCCAGCAGCCGCGGUAAUACGGAGGGUGCUAGCGUUAAUCAGAAUUACUGGGCGUAAAGAGCACGUAGGUGGUUUUUUUAAAGUCAGAUGUGAAAUCCCUGGGCUUUAACCUAGGAACUGCAUUUUGAAACUGAAAUACUAGAGUAUCGUAGAGGGAGGUAGAAUUCUAGGUGUAGCGGUGAAAUGCGUAGAUAUCUGGAGGAAUACCUGUGGCGAAAGCGGCCUCCUAAACGAAUACUGACACUGAGGGUGCGAAAGCGUGGGGAGCAAACAGGGAUUAGAUA